Molecule: ribosomal RNA, 821 nt
Filed under: uncultured bacterium
Lineage: Bacteria
Description: bacterial SSU rRNA
Rfam family: Bacterial small subunit ribosomal RNA
Source: RNAcentral
AGAGUUUGAUCAUGGCUCAGAGCGAACGCUGGCGGCAUGCUUAACACAUGCAAGUCGCACGGGCGGGGGCAACUCCGUCAGUGGCGGACGGGUGAGUAACGCGUAGGUAUCUAUCCUUAGGUGGGGGACAACUGUGGGAAACUACGGCUAAUACCGCAUGAUGACCGAGGUCCAAAGGCGCAAGUCGCCCGGGGAGGAGCCUGCGUACGAUUAGCUUGUUGGUGGGGUAAAGGCCUACCAAGGCGACGAUCGUUAGCUGGUCUGAGAGGAUGAUCAGCCACAUUGGGACUGAGACACGGCCCAAACUCCUACGGGAGGCAGCAGUGGGGAAUAUUGGACAAUGGGCGAAAGCCUGAUCCAGCAAUGCCGCGUGUGUGAAGAAGGUCUUCGGAUUGUAAAGCACUUUCGACGGGGACGAUGAUGACGGUACCCGUAGAAGAAGCCCCGGCUAACUUCGUGCCAGCAGCCGCGGUAAUACGAAGGGGGCUAGCGUUGCUCGGAAUGACUGGGCGUAAAGGGCGCGUAGGCGGAUGGCACAGUCAGAUGUGAAAUUCCCGGGCUUAACCUGGGGGCUGCAUUUGAUACGUGUUGUCUAGAGUGAGGAAGAGGGUCGUGGAAUUCCCAGUGUAGAGGUGAAAUUCGUAGAUAUUGGGAAGAACACCGGUGGCGAAGGCGGCGACCUGGUCCUUUACUGACGCUGAGGCGCGAAAGCGUGGGGAGCAAACAGGAUUAGAUACCCUGGUAGUCCACGCUGUAAACGAUGUGUGCUGGAUGUUGGGCGACCUAGUCGCUCAGUGUCGUAGCUAACGCGAUAAGCACAC